CCUCCUCCUCCUUCUUCUUCUUCUUCUUCUUCUUAUUCUUCUUCUUCUUCUUCUUCUUCUUCUUCUUCUUAUUCUUCUUCUCCUUCUUCUUCUACUACUACUUCUCCUUCUUCUUCUUCUUCUCCUCUUUCUUGUUCUCCUUCUUAUCCUUCUUCUUCUUAUCCUCCUCCUUCUUCUUCUUCUCCUUCUUCAUCAUCUUCUUCUUC
This 206-nucleotide long non-coding RNA is filed under the name Hordeum vulgare. RNAcentral's name for it is "long non-coding RNA (HVUL_LNC012161)". The record is from RNAcentral. Lineage: Eukaryota; Viridiplantae; Streptophyta; Magnoliopsida; Poales; Poaceae.